AAAAUUUUAUUAGCAUAAGGUCAAACUUGAACCCUCGGAUUCUUUGGGUGGCAGUAUAAAUUGUUCAAACAUUAAUCAUUCAAGGAAGAGCAGAGCUGGGCAAUAGUGGGGCCAAAUAUCUAAGAUCCCAAAUAGAGAACCAUGAGUCUGUCAAACAGUGGAAGUAAAGUAAGAGGUGGGACUUGACUGUGGAAGCAGGGCUCAGACACAGGACCAAGUUGAGGAUUAGCUGAAACAGGGCUGAAGUGGAAGCAGUUUUCCAUAAGACACACCUACCAGUGUAACAUGUCAGUUUACCACUGCUAUGGCAACACUCAGAAAUUACUGCCCCUUUCCAUGGCAAUGACCUGACAACCAGGAAGUUACCACCCUUUUCCUAAAAAUUUCUGUAUAAAUUGCCCCUUAAUUUGCAUAUAAUUAAAAGUGGGUAUAAAUGUGAGUGCAAAACUGCCUCCGAUCUGCUACUUUGGGCACACAGCCUAUUGGGGUAGCCUUGCUCUGCGAGUCGUUGUUUACCACCACCAGCUCACCCUUGAAUUCUUCCUUGGGCAAAGUCAAGAGCCCUCCUGGGCUAAGCCCCAAUUUUGGAUCUCACCUGUCUUAUGUCAGAAAUAUCAGGGCCUGUGGAGCCUCAGUGUAUAACUCAGGAUAAGGAGAGCAGAAUCAUGCUUAUGGCAGGACCCUGAUGAGUCUGUUUGUUGACCUAGGCCAGUGGCAAGAAAUCUCCUGGGAGCGAGACAACUCAAAGGGCAGAAAGAAGUGGGGAGAAAGAGAAAGCCCUAGGUCAAGGCUGGAGCAGUUUCUGAGAAGACGGGAAAGACUAAGGGAAGUCAAGAGUCAAAAAUCCUUAAUGAUAAGUAGAUUAGGAUAUGGGGCAAGAGCUUAGAAAAAAUGUCAUAAAAGGAGGGCAUAGGACCACCGCUAUUCUCUUUCCCUGGUCUCUCCUUAUCUGGCCUUCUUGCCCCUAGAUAUGAAGGGCUGUGAUAAUGGCUUUGCUCAAUAGCAUGUAUCCUGGGUCAGUGUGGUAAGAGGCAGUAGAGAUUAUAUCCAAGUGCUGUGUCUGCUAUUUAUUUACUGCAUGACCUCAAGCAAGUUAUUUAACUCUCUAAGCUUCAGUUUCCUCAUCUGUGAAUCACCUGUGGAUAAUAGUAAGGUUAAACCUGGUGCUGAGCUCAUGGAAAAGUUCAGCUGUACUGCUGUAGAAUUCUCAUCUUCUUGUAGUCCCAUGACAUACCACACCUCUGUGAGCAAGCCAGAUUAAGGACCCAUGUUCUCAAAAUAGAUUCUUGUAUAUGAAAGAGUUCAGUAAACAAUAUAGGAAGCAACAGUAAUUGCUUGUCUUUCUCCCAGCCCUCUGUUCCAGGGAAGGGUUUUUUGGUGGAGUGGGAGUCUCCUCCAGGAGAAAUAGUAGAUGUUCUAAGCUGCAGGGAAAUGUCUCCACAGAAACUUUUGCUGGAGGUUCUGGCUGGAAGAAAAUCCAAGAAGGACAGCUGGGUCUCAGAAUGCCAUCUGAGCAUGCAGGACAAUAUCCCAGCCAGUUGGGGCCCAAGACAAGACCAGAGUUCAUUUUAAUAGUGUUUAUCCAGGUUCUGUUAUCAGAACUGGGCACCAUGAGCCGUCCUUCUUAAAGACAAAUACAACAGAAAAAGAGGCUGCCUCUUAACUGACUUAUUCACCCCUUGGAAAAUUUGUUAAGAUAAAACAUACUCCUUGUUGUUUUAACUCUAUUAUCUUGUUCAACAAAGCAAAAUUUAGAAACAAUAAAACUAAAGAAGGAAGUAUCUAUCUCUGAGUAUGAUCUUUACUUCUUUUACUCCAUAGAACGCUUUUUAAAAUUUGACAUUUUAAACAAUCUCUUGAUCUUCAUUUGUUCUUUUUUCAAGGAGAGAUAUGAACACAAUGUUCUUUAAGAAAUUGUUCUUCAUUAAACUAGGCAACAACAUGUGAGUCAUUGUAACGUAUUAUGUUAAAUUUUAAAAAAUACAAAACUAGGUGCAACCCAGUGACUGUAGUUACAAAUGUGCUUCUGGAAUGAGUAGCCCAC
RNAcentral lists this long non-coding RNA (2044 nucleotides) under Macaca fascicularis (crab-eating macaque). Its description in RNAcentral is "lncRNA (ENSMFAG00000064066.1)". The record is from RNAcentral. Lineage: Eukaryota; Metazoa; Chordata; Mammalia; Primates; Cercopithecidae.